Molecule: small nuclear RNA, 107 nt
Organism: Hippopotamus amphibius kiboko
Lineage: Eukaryota; Metazoa; Chordata; Mammalia; Artiodactyla; Hippopotamidae
Source: RefSeq, a predicted model, not a curated record
GUGCUCGCUUUGGCAGCACAUAUACUAAAACUGGAACAAUACAGAGAAGGUUAGCAUGGCCCCUGUGCAAGGAUGACAUGCAAAUUCGUGAAGCAUUCCAUAUUUAA